UCAAGAUGAUUAGAGAUUAUGAUGAUGUAUGUGGCGAAGAUAAUGAUUGAAUUGUAGGAGCUUGAUGCUGAGAAGAGAUUAUUGAGGUUGACGAUGUGGUGAAGAAUGAUUGAAGGUGCAGGUGAUUCCCCAAAACCGGUGACGCGCGUGAUGAUGAAGAUAUGUGAUGAUGAUCGUUUCUGAGUGAAGAUUUGGUGAAAAGUUGAAUCCAGAAGAUGAAUAAAGAUUGAAGGUGGAGUACUGAUUUUUUUGGUGAUUAUCAAAGGAUUGAAGUUGAUGAAUCCAGAUGAAGAGGAUGAAGGUUGUGAUGGAAGUGAGAAUCGGUGGAGAAGUUUGUUACCUUUUUUUAUUUCGGUUAUCUCCCUCCUUUUUCUGCUAAUUUAUUCUGGUAAAUUUCUGUUCUGAUUUCUUGCGAUUGAAUUGGAAAGGUUGAUUGAAAAUUGUUGAUUGUGUUGAAUGAGAGAGUGAAGGUUGGUUGGGGAUUGAAGAUGAUAAGAGAGAUUCCCCUGAGUUUUUUACGUGAAGCCUCUUUUUGUUACAGGUUUUCUUUGUCAAUUUCUGUUAGCGUUUUUUCUUCUUUUUCUAUUAUCAAAACUCUCCCCCCAAUUUCUGAUUCGGUCCCCUUUUUAUGCAGAGCCGGUUCAAUUUUUUUCUCUGUAAGUUACUCUGUGGUUGAAUUUAUGACGGGGUCACGCUUAAUACCAUUUCCGUUCGAUUUUGUGCAGGGGCGGUUUGAUUUUGAGACUUUUGGUUUAAGCGCCGGUUUUGGAAUGUGUGGAUGGUGCAAGGUCGGUUUAGUUGAAUGGCUGCAGGAUUUUUGUUGGUUUAAUUGGAGCAGAGUUAGUAUAAUAGAAACAAAACAUAUUUUUUGAUUUUGUAUGGACAAUGAUGAAUUUGAAUAUGUACGAUUAGACUUGGAAAUUUUGUGAUUUAUUGGGCUUUGUUGAAUUGGAAUGUAAUAACAUGAUUUUUUGUAAUGAGUUUUGAAUGAAACUUAAAAUGUAUGGUUUUGAUGAAUAUUAGACAUGAAGUGAAAUAUGGUGAACUUUUCUUUAUACUUAUAACUUACAUUCCAAACAAAACAACAUGAACCUCACUUUGCUUCUCAAUUCAAAUCCAAAUUAACUUGCAGGACCUAGAGGUACUUUGAUCAGAAUAUGAGUAAACCAUCAUCAUCUCUUACAUCAGGACUUGAUCUUUGUAACUCGGUCCAUAAAUCUUUUGUCUUGACAAAGUCUUUCUUCACUCGAUACUUUAACACAAUCACAGUUCUAUGAGGAUCCAUUGAGAAUGAGUAAGACUUGAGGAUUAGAAUGAUACCGGAGCAUAGAGGGGACAUGACCGUGAAAUCCAAUUAACCACUGUUGAUGAACAUUAACAAAC
Vicia villosa (hairy vetch) is the source of this 1383-nucleotide long non-coding RNA. RefSeq lists it as uncharacterized. The record is from RefSeq and is a predicted model, not a curated record. NCBI's taxonomy places the organism in Eukaryota, Viridiplantae, Streptophyta, Magnoliopsida, Fabales, Fabaceae. The transcript is spliced from 3 exons.